RNAcentral lists this ribosomal RNA (225 nucleotides) under uncultured bacterium. RNAcentral's name for it is "partial 16S ribosomal RNA". It matches the Rfam family "Bacterial small subunit ribosomal RNA", at positions 15 to 229 of the family's 1533-position model. The record is from RNAcentral.
GAUCAUGGCUCAGGAUGAACGCUAGCUACAGGCUUAACACAUGCAAGUCGAGGGGAAACGACAUCGAAAGCUUGCUUUUGAUGGGCGUCGACCGGCGCACGGGUGAGUAACGCGUAGGCAACCUGCCCUUUGCAGAGGGAUAGCCUCGGGAAACCGGGAUUAAAACCUCAUGAUGCCGUGUGAAGACAUCUUCAUAUGGUCAAAGAUUUAUCGGCAAAGGAUGGG